Molecule: long non-coding RNA, 567 nt
Organism: Megalobrama amblycephala (Wuchang bream)
Lineage: Eukaryota; Metazoa; Chordata; Actinopteri; Cypriniformes; Xenocyprididae
Exons: 3
Source: RefSeq, a predicted model, not a curated record
UCCAGGAAAUUAAUAAUCAUAAAUACAUUCAUCAUGUUUAAUCAACCAUUAGUCCUCUUAUAAUGUUAAUUGUUAUAUAGUGAUGAUCAAGGGAGCCCCCUGGUGGCAGCUUGUGUAUAGGGGGAUCAGCUGGAGACACUCCCUGUUAUUCCACUGUCCAAAAUAAAGCUUCUUGACAAUAAAACACUGCUCACUGUACUUUCAGUUUUAUUUCUUACAUUUAAAUCUUGCGAAACAUGUUGUGGUUUUGACAUCUGAUGAACAUAAUACUCACACAGAACUUUCACCAUGUUUUCAAAUCUUCUUCUUCUGCUGUUUUGCUUCAUCAAUUCUAGCGGAUCCGCCCCUGCAUCUGUGACAGGACAAACAGAAAGCAGAGUCACCCUGUCAUGUGAAUUUGAGGACAGAGAGAUUUCAGAUAUUGUUUUAAGCAGGUCAAAAGAUAUCCUUGUUUGUCAGAAUAAAGAAUGUGAAAGUGAAAAUGGCCGAGUGUUUAGAGAAGGAUCAUGUGACGUCAUCAUCAAGGAUCUGAUCUUCAGUGAUGCUGGGAAAUACUUUCUGAAUAUU